This is a non-coding RNA of Schistosoma margrebowiei, 214 nucleotides long. NCBI's taxonomy places the organism in Eukaryota, Metazoa, Platyhelminthes, Trematoda, Strigeidida, Schistosomatidae. The record is from Rfam.
AAGUAAUGUCAUCAGUAUGUUGUUGAUUGAUGUUUUUUAUUUGAGAACAGGUCUGUGAUUCCAGCGAGUCUGGAAACCUGGCCCAAAAGGGUUGGGAAAACUGUUUCAUCACCGUCGUGACUAGUAUCGGGGCUUGCAAUUAUUUCCCGUGAACGAGGAAUUCCUGGUAAGUGCAAGUCAUAAGCUUGCGCUGAUUACAUCCCUGCCCUUUGUA